Molecule: ribosomal RNA, 253 nt
Filed under: uncultured bacterium
Lineage: Bacteria
Description: partial 16S ribosomal RNA
Rfam family: Bacterial small subunit ribosomal RNA
Source: RNAcentral
GACGUAGGGCGCGAGCGUUGUCCGGAUUUAUUGGGCGUAAAGAGUUCGUAGGCGGCUCAUUGCGUCAACCGUUAAAACCAGCAGCUCAACUGUUGGCUUGCGGUUGAUACGGGUGGGCUGGAGUUCGGUAGGGGAGACUGGAAUUCCUGGUGUAGCGGUGAAAUGCGCAGAUAUCAGGAGGAACACCGGUGGCGAAGGCGGGUCUCUGGGCCGAGACUGACGCUGAGGAGCGAAAGCGUGGGGAGCGAACAGG